UGCAAGUCGAGCGGAAUGAAGAAGAAGCUUGCUUCUUCUGAUUUUAGCGGCGGACGGGUGAGGUAACACGUGGGCAACCUACCUUGUAGAUUGGGAUAACUCCGGGAAACCGGGGCUAAUACCGGAUAAUCCAUUUUGCUUCAUGGCGAGAUGUUAAAAGACGGUUUCGGCUGUCACUACAAGAUGGGCCCGCGGCGCAUUAGCUAGUUGGUAGGGGUAAUGGCCUACCAAGGCGACGAUGCGUAGCCGACCUGAGAGGGUGAUCGGCCACACUGGGACUGAGACACGGCCCAGACUCCUACGGGAGGCAGCAGUAGGGAAUCUUCCACAAUGGACGAAAGUCUGAUGGAGCAACGCCGCGUGAGUGAAGAAGGUUUUCGGAUCGUAAAACUCUGUUGUAAGGGAAGAACACGUACGAGAGUAACUGCUCGUACCUCGACGGUACCUUAUUAGAAAGCCACGGCUAACUACGUG
RNAcentral lists this ribosomal RNA (474 nucleotides) under uncultured bacterium. RNAcentral describes it as "bacterial SSU rRNA". It matches the Rfam family "Bacterial small subunit ribosomal RNA", at positions 56 to 507 of the family's 1533-position model. The record is from RNAcentral.